GGCUAACGCUAGCGGCGCGCAUAAGACAUGCAAGUCGUACGGGCCAGGGGCUUCGGCCCCUGGUCAGUGGCAGACGGCUGAGUAACGCGUGGGUGACCUACCCGGAAGUGGGGAAUAACCACUCGAAAGGGUGGCUAAUACCGCAUACGCUUGCCGGCUGUGGCCGGCAAGGAAAGCCGCAAGGCGCUUCCGGAAGGGCCCGCGUCCGAUUAGCUAGUUGGUAGGGUAAUGGCCUACCAAGGCGAUGAUCGGUAGCUGGUCUGAGAGGACGGCCAGC
RNAcentral lists this ribosomal RNA (277 nucleotides) under uncultured bacterium. RNAcentral describes it as "partial 16S ribosomal RNA". It matches the Rfam family "Bacterial small subunit ribosomal RNA", at positions 28 to 308 of the family's 1533-position model. The record is from RNAcentral.